This is a long non-coding RNA of Platichthys flesus (European flounder), 2452 nucleotides long. RefSeq lists it as uncharacterized. The transcript has 4 exons. Lineage: Eukaryota; Metazoa; Chordata; Actinopteri; Pleuronectiformes; Pleuronectidae. The record is from RefSeq and is a predicted model, not a curated record.
GACCGGCAGCCAGCUGAGCACGUGCAGAGAAACACACAGACAUCAGCCAACUGCAGCCGAUCCCCCACCGAGACAAGCCGAGGUGUCAGAUGUUUGACAGGGGCCGGGGUGCAGAUGUUUGACAGAUGUUUGACAGGUGACGUAAGCCGGGCUCCUCACCUUCCUGUGGCUCAGGUGAGAGUGUGAAGCAGAAAACGACCUGCGGGGGUUCGUCCUCUGCACGACUCUCCUCACGAGAAGCAUCGUGACCUGCUGCACAAACAGAAACCGACAGAACUGGAACCGCUUAUCGUCUCAUUCGGGAUAAGUAGAGGUCGCAAACAUGUGCAGGACGAAGCCGAACAACAAGGUCGCGUUUUCUCUGAUGUCACCAACAAGCGACGGAAACCCGCGGUUGUCGCCACCUGGCGGCAGAUGUGGGUUAAAGCACUCUUGUUUCCCUGAAUAUGAGAAAUUCUUGAAGAAAAUACACAAAGACAUGAAUUGAACUCAACACAGGAAGUAGAGCAGGUCCAGAGCAGAGAUGGUGGGCUCCUCCGGUUUCUUGAUCUCUGGUUUGGGCAGCUUGAUCCGACUCAUGGCGACCACUCCGCAGACAGCGAAGUGAGUCCCGAUGCUCCCCACGCCCAGCCAGAAGGACCAGUCCAGGCCAUCCUCCAGGACAACCAGGACGAACAGCUUCUCCUGGUGGUUAGCCACCCGCUCGGUCAGACGGUGGUGUCUCAGGGCCGCCAGGAAACACAAAACACCCAGGGCACCGAAAAGAGCUGGAAAAUACAGAACAUGGGAAGGAAAUGCAAAGAGAGGGGUAAACCAAGAGCUUGUAUAACACUAUCAAGGGGCAAACAUGAGAUGCAAAUUGAAAAGUAAACCUAGGUCAUGAGGAAAGACAGAGUCCGCUGAUAUACCUGCUAUUAAGUUCCACAGGUAGAGUCCUUUGUGCCCCUUGAUGCUCUGGUAGGGAAUCUUGCGUGCGUUGUAAAUACAGAAGGACAGACUGACCACAGCGAAGCCGAUGGCCACCAGCAGGAAGAGAAUCACCAUCAUGUGAAGGCCGCUGUUCAAUGUUCUCACGAGCUUUGGAAAAACUGGACAAUCAGACAGAAUCAGAGGAAAAGAGAUCAAUCAGCCCAGUGAGCAGGUUUGUCUGAGAAGCGAUGAGGAAAGGAAACAACACAUUCUGCAGCCACCAGACAUUAGUCAUGCUGUUCUGAAUAUUCUGGAUUAAACAGAUGUUGGAUUGUUUACAUGCAGCCUUUGACCUUACUGAAUAUUCUGGAUUAAACAGAUGUUGGAUGGUUAACAUGCAGCCUUUGACCUUACUGAAUAUUCUGGAUUAAACAGAUGUUGGAUGGUUUUCAUGCAGCCUUUGACCUUACUGACUAUUCUGGAUUAAACAGAUGUUGGAUGGUUUACAUGCAGCGUUUGACCUUACUGACUAUUCUGGAUUAAACAGAUGUUGGAUGGUUUACAUGCAGCGUUUGACCUUACUGACUAUUCUGGAUUAAACAGAUGUUGGAUGGUUUACAUGCAGCCUUUGACCUUACUGAAUAUUUUGGUUCGCCUCCUCCCGAGCCCGCACCUCUUGCUCUUCCCUCCCUGGAACAAACCGUAGUAAAUGUCCCCGACGAACUGCUCCAGCUCCGGGCUGGACGCGUUCACUAUGUCCACCCCGGUUUUACACAGGAUCCGUCCGGUGACCCAGCGCUCCGUGGCCAGGGCCACGACCAGGAGGACCACCGAGCCGACGCAGAGCACCGAGGCCACUGAGAACGUUAUCCGUUUCCACAGAGAAGGCAUCUUACGAGCCCAUGGUGCCCCGGGGGAGGUAACAGGACGCCGGGCAGCGACCGCGUUGUGCACCCGACGAUCACCAUGAGUUUACUAUAUAGAUUGAAAGGUCAAAAUAAAUCAUCAUCCAACAGAAGAGUGUUGUUCCUCUAGCUGAAAUGUUGCGUGUAUUGAGUCGCAGGGGAUGAGAAACAGAAUCUAUGACGGUCAAGGAGAUCGCUUACCGGGAGAAACCCUAUCCCUGCCCCGCCGUGCUGCUCUCUCUCUGUCUCUAUCUCUCUUUCUCUGUCUCACACACACACACACAUUCUCUCUUUAAUCAGGGGUUGAAUUAACCUUUGAGACUUGGUAUUUGGAUCUAGUAAAGUAACAUCUAAUUGGUGACCUUAGUGCAGCAGUAAAACAAUGUAAGACAAAUUAAUUGUGUUAGAUUGAUGGAUGUGGUUAUUUUUUAACACACACACUAAAGGUCACUUCAUGGCAGCAAUCAGUUUAGCAUUCAGUGUUUAGGCCUUGUGGUCCUAAAUCUCAUAUCCUGCUCAAUGCAUGAUCCUACAUCUCAUGUCCUGCUCUAUGCAUGCUCCACUUAGCCUACUUAGCCUAUAUUGGUUCUGACUUGUGCAUAUUGUUAUCAAAGAUAAUGACAAUAAAGUUCUUUUGA